Oreochromis aureus is the source of this 486-nucleotide long non-coding RNA. The record is from Ensembl. NCBI's taxonomy places the organism in Eukaryota, Metazoa, Chordata, Actinopteri, Cichliformes, Cichlidae.
AUCGCCUUUGACGGCAGAACACGCUGGUUACGAGCUGGGAGCGAGCUCAUUAAGAGCACGCGCAUUUUUAGCGGUCCGGGGCUGUAGGAGAAACACAACUUAACUCACACAGACUGAUGCGACAAAACCAUACCCAUGAUAUAACAUUGUCCAGACAUGCCUGGUAAGGACAUGAGGAGGAAACAGUAGGAGCUGUGUGAGGCUACUAAAGGCAGUGGAUCCCUCAGCAGCUGGAUAACAAACAGCACAGUCUCAGAUCAGCACAGCCCUGCCCUCCAGCACUAUCAGCAGCAGGAGCAGCAGAAACCAGCAACAUUGUACCCAUCAGGACGAACGAGAAAGCACAUUUUCCACCGAGAGGAGCAGCAUCUGAACCACCAUGCUGAUAAUGAAGACUCCAGCCUGUCCAGAAAUAUCCACGGUUUAAUAUUUAUUCAACUGUAGAAUUUUCUGAGUUUACUAAAAUAAAGUCAGAGUAACAUCUGA